This 478-nucleotide ribosomal RNA is filed under the name uncultured bacterium. RNAcentral's name for it is "partial 16S ribosomal RNA". It matches the Rfam family "Bacterial small subunit ribosomal RNA", at positions 28 to 523 of the family's 1533-position model. The record is from RNAcentral.
GACGAACGCUGGCGGCGUGCUUAACACAUGCAAGUCGAACGGUAAGGCCCUUCGGGGUACACGAGUGGCGAACGGGUGAGUAAUACGUGGGUGAUCUGCCCUGCACUUCGGGAUAAGCCUGGGAAACUGGGUCUAAUCCCGGAUAGGACACCUGCCUGCCUGGGUGGAGGGGGAAUGCUUUUGCGGUGUGGGAUGGGCCCGCGGCCUAGCGGCUUGUUGGUGGGGUGAUGGGCUACCAAGGCGACGACGGGUAGCCGGCCUGAGAGGAUGACCGGCCACGCUGGGACUGAGAUACGGCCCAGACUCCUACGGGAGGCAGCAGUGGGGAAUAUUGCACAAUGGGCGCAAGCCUGAUGCAGCGACGCCGCGUGAGGGAUGACGGCCUUCGGGUUGUAAACCUCUUUCAGCACCGACGAAGCGCAAGUGACGGUAGGUGCAGAAGAAGGACCGGCCAACUACGUGCCAGCAGCCGCCGUAA